RNAcentral lists this ribosomal RNA (1015 nucleotides) under Vibrio parahaemolyticus. RNAcentral describes it as "bacterial SSU rRNA". It matches the Rfam family "Bacterial small subunit ribosomal RNA", at positions 528 to 1533 of the family's 1533-position model. The record is from RNAcentral. Lineage: Bacteria; Pseudomonadati; Pseudomonadota; Gammaproteobacteria; Vibrionales; Vibrionaceae.
GAGGGUGCGAGCGUUAAUCGGAAUUACUGGGCGUAAAGCGCAUGCAGGUGGUUUGUUAAGUCAGAUGUGAAAGCCCGGGGCUCAACCUCGGAAUUGCAUUUGAAACUGGCAGACUAGAGUACUGUAGAGGGGGGUAGAAUUUCAGGUGUAGCGGUGAAAUGCGUAGAGAUCUGAAGGAAUACCGGUGGCGAAGGCGGCCCCCUGGACAGAUACUGACACUCAGAUGCGAAAGCGUGGGGAGCAAACAGGAUUAGAUACCCUGGUAGUCCACGCCGUAAACGAUGUCUACUUGGAGGUUGUGGCCUUGAGCCGUGGCUUUCGGAGCUAACGCGUUAAGUAGACCGCCUGGGGAGUACGGUCGCAAGAUUAAAACUCAAAUGAAUUGACGGGGGCCCGCACAAGCGGUGGAGCAUGUGGUUUAAUUCGAUGCAACGCGAAGAACCUUACCUACUCUUGACAUCCAGAGAACUUUCCAGAGAUGGAUUGGUGCCUUCGGGAACUCUGAGACAGGUGCUGCAUGGCUGUCGUCAGCUCGUGUUGUGAAAUGUUGGGUUAAGUCCCGCAACGAGCGCAACCCUUAUCCUUGUUUGCCAGCGAGUAAUGUCGGGAACUCCAGGGAGACUGCCGGUGAUAAACCGGAGGAAGGUGGGGACGACGUCAAGUCAUCAUGGCCCUUACGAGUAGGGCUACACACGUGCUACAAUGGCGCAUACAGAGGGCAGCCAACUUGCGAAAGUGAGCGAAUCCCAAAAAGUGCGUCGUAGUCCGGAUUGGAGUCUGCAACUCGACUCCAUGAAGUCGGAAUCGCUAGUAAUCGUGGAUCAGAAUGCCACGGUGAAUACGUUCCCGGGCCUUGUACACACCGCCCGUCACACCAUGGGAGUGGGCUGCAAAAGAAGUAGGUAGUUUAACCUUCGGGGGGACGCUUACCACUUUGUGGUUCAUGACUGGGGUGAAGUCGUAACAAGGUAGCGCUAGGGGAACCUGGCGCUGGAUCACCUCCUUAAACGAUGAU